AGAGUUUGAUCAUGGCUCAGAACGAACGCUGGCGGCGUGCCUAACACAUGCAAGUCGAGCGAGAAAGUCCCCGCAAGGGGAUGAGUAAAGCGGCGAACGGGUGAGUAACACGUGGGCAACCUGCCCUUCAGUCAGGAAUAACCCCGCGAAAGCGGGGCUAAUACCGGAUAACGUCCUUCGGGGGCAUCCUCGGGCGACCAAAGGGGGCGAGCGAAAGCGGCUCCCGCUAAAGGAUGGGCCUGCGGCUGAUUAGCUAGUUGGUGGGGUAGCGGCCUACCAAGGCGACGAUCAGUAGCCGACCUGAGAGGGUGACCGGCCACACUGGGACUGAGACACGGCCCAGACUCCUACGGGAGGCAGCAGUGGGGAAUAUUGCGCAAUGGGCGAAAGCCUGACGCAGCGACGCCGCGUGGGUGAUGAAGGCCUUCGGGUCGUAAAACCCUGUCGGGUGGAAUGUAUCUCCUUUUCUCUAAUACAGGGGAGGAUUGACGGUACCACCGAAGGAAGCCCGGCUACUACGUGC
RNAcentral lists this ribosomal RNA (523 nucleotides) under uncultured bacterium. RNAcentral's name for it is "bacterial SSU rRNA". It matches the Rfam family "Bacterial small subunit ribosomal RNA", at positions 8 to 508 of the family's 1533-position model. The record is from RNAcentral.